UACGGAGGGGGUUAGCGUUGUUCGGAAUUACUGGGCGUAAAGCGCGCGUAGGCGGACCAGAAAGUUGGGGGUGAAAUCCCGGGGCUCAACCCCGGAACGGUCUCCAAAACUCCUGGUCUUGAGUUCGAGAGAGGUGAAUGGAAUUCCGAGUGUAGAGGUGAAAUUCGUAGAUAUUCGGAGGAACACCAGUGGCGAAGGCGGCUCACUGGCUCGAUACUGACGCUGAGGUGCGAAAGUGUGGGGAGCAAACAGG
Molecule: ribosomal RNA, 253 nt
Filed under: uncultured bacterium
Lineage: Bacteria
Description: partial 16S ribosomal RNA
Rfam family: Bacterial small subunit ribosomal RNA
Source: RNAcentral